Molecule: ribosomal RNA, 273 nt
Filed under: uncultured bacterium
Lineage: Bacteria
Description: partial 16S ribosomal RNA
Rfam family: Bacterial small subunit ribosomal RNA
Source: RNAcentral
AACGUAGGAGGCGAGCGUUAUCCGGAUUUACUGGGCGUAAAGCGCGUGCAGGCGGCUCGAAAAGUUGGAUGUGAAAGCUCCUGGCUUAACUGGGAGAGGUCGUUCAAUACUUUCGAGCUAGAGGAUGGGAGAGGGAGGUGGAAUUCCGGGUGUAGUGGUGAAAUGCGUAGAUAUCCGGAGGAACACCAGUGGCGAAGGCGGCCUCCUGGCCCAUUUCUGACGCUCAGACGCGAAAGCUAGGGUAGCAAACGGGAUUAGAUACCCCCGUAGUCC